This 489-nucleotide ribosomal RNA is filed under the name uncultured bacterium. Its description in RNAcentral is "partial 16S ribosomal RNA". It matches the Rfam family "Bacterial small subunit ribosomal RNA", at positions 30 to 507 of the family's 1533-position model. The record is from RNAcentral.
UUGAACGCUGGCGGCAGGCCUAACACCUGCAAGUCGAACGGUAACAGGAAGAAGCUUGCUUCUUUGCUGACGAGUGGCGGACGGGUGAGUAAUGUCUGGGAAACUGCCUGAUGGAGGGGGAUAACUACUGGAAACGGUAGCUAAUACCGCAUAAUGUCGCAAGACCAAAGAGGGGGACCUUCGGGCCUCUUGCCAUCGGAUGUGCCCAGAUGGGAUUAGCUAGUAGGUGGGGUAACGGCUCACCUAGGCGACGAUCCCUAGCUGGUCUGAGAGGAUGACCAGCCACACUGGAACUGAGACACGGUCCAGACUCCUACGGGAGGCAGCAGUGGGGAAUAUUGCACAAUGGGCGCAAGCCUGAUGCAGCUAUGCCGCGUGUAUGAAGAAGGCCUUCGGGUUGUAAAGUACUUUCAGCGGGGAGGAAGGGAGUAAAGUUAAUACCUUGGCUCAUUGACGUUACCCGCAGAAGAAGCACCGGCUAACUCCGUG